RNAcentral lists this long non-coding RNA (809 nucleotides) under Cricetulus griseus (Chinese hamster). RNAcentral's name for it is "lncRNA (ENSCGRG00015037569.1)". The record is from RNAcentral. Lineage: Eukaryota; Metazoa; Chordata; Mammalia; Rodentia; Cricetidae.
UUUCUUUCCCACCGGCAGUGUAUGAGAGUUCCUUUUUCUCACAUCCUUACCAGCAUUUUCUUUUUUUUUUUCUUAAAAGAAGAAGAAAAAGAAGAAGAAGAAAAGAAAUCCUAGCCUAUGCUAUAUUUGUUGGGUCCUGUAAAAUGUAUUCCCCAUGGGUGAGGCCAGGGAUGGCUCAGUAUGAUCUCAGAACUCGUCAGCCUAAGAACGCAGCCAAUGGCAGAAAGCCCGAAAGGGACUCAGCAGUCCAAAACCGAAAAAAAAGACUCAGUGAUCUGAAAGGCAGCGAGAAGAAACCGCUGAAGGCUUAAAGCCGAAACACACUACUCUGAGUGCAGCAGCUUCAGCAUGCCCUUUCAUAGCAGGUGCAAAGCUUGUCAGAACCCCAAGUACAAAGGAGUCACCAAAUCUACAAGUGAAAUCACUGCAUGACCAUUCUGAAAGGACACACAAGAAAGUGGAAACAGCAUCUACUUUGAGGACUGGAUGACACUAGAGAGAAACAUGAGACAUAACUGCUCAGUAGCUGAACAGCAAACACCUUCCACCCUGCCUCCAUGAACAUGUCUAGAAGAUGCCAUCAUUCCUCUUUCUAAGUAUCCCCAGACUGUGCUUCUCAUAGUAGCAUGACUCAGCACUUACAGGUAUUUCAGUUUUGUGACUGAAUAACACAGCAAGUCUCAAGAAGAAAAAAUAUGGGGCAGGAAAGGUGCUUGCUGCCAAGUUGGAAAACCUGAUCCCAGAGCCCCACAUGGUGGAGAAAGAGACCUGACCCUGGCAAGUUGUCCUCUGACCUCUACAUGCUCCUG